GCCACCUGGCGACAGGGAGCGAAUCCCAAACCACGUCUCAGUUCGGAUCGGAGUCUGCAACCCGACUCCGUGAAGCUGGAUUCGCUAGUAAUCGCGCAUCAGCCAUGGCGCGGUGAAUACGUUCCCGGGCCUUGUACACACCGCCCGUCAAGCCAUGGGAGCCGGGGGUACCUGAAGUCCGUAACCGCGAGGAUCGGCCUAGGGUAAAACUGGUGACUGGGGCUAAGUCGUAACAAGGUAUC
This 242-nucleotide ribosomal RNA is filed under the name uncultured bacterium. RNAcentral's name for it is "partial 16S ribosomal RNA". It matches the Rfam family "Bacterial small subunit ribosomal RNA", at positions 1249 to 1500 of the family's 1533-position model. The record is from RNAcentral.